Non-coding RNA from Mycena leptocephala, 93 nucleotides. The record is from the annotation of a GenBank genome assembly. NCBI's taxonomy places the organism in Eukaryota, Fungi, Basidiomycota, Agaricomycetes, Agaricales, Mycenaceae.
GGCUCGGUGGUGGAUGGUCCGCACCUGCAGAUAUUGAUGGUUCAGAUUCAACCGUUUGAGCAGGGAUCCCUCGUUCGAUUCGAGGCCGAGCCA